UUGCGAUGGAAGGGAAAGGCAAACCGGAAAACUUAAGGCCGUUUGGUGUGUUUUUCCCUUCCAUCGCAG
This 69-nucleotide microRNA precursor is filed under the name Marek's disease virus serotype 2 MDV2. RNAcentral describes it as "microRNA mdv2-mir-M15 precursor". Its record names the gene mdv2-mir-M15. Lineage: Duplodnaviria; Heunggongvirae; Peploviricota; Herviviricetes; Herpesvirales; Orthoherpesviridae. The record is from miRBase by way of RNAcentral.